RNAcentral lists this ribosomal RNA (255 nucleotides) under Echinococcus granulosus. Its description in RNAcentral is "partial small subunit ribosomal RNA". The record is from RNAcentral. Lineage: Eukaryota; Metazoa; Platyhelminthes; Cestoda; Cyclophyllidea; Taeniidae.
GUAUUUUGUAAAGUUGUUCUAGUUUUGUAACUAAAAUGGUUUGGCAGUGAGCGAUUCUUAUUAGGGGAAUAUGCAUAGUGAAGGAUGGUCCACCUAUUAGUUUACUCUUUUUAUGUUGGUGUAUGUCUGGUUUGAUAUUAUUGUUGAAUAAUUUAAGUUUGUGUAGUUUUAGUUAAGCUAAGUCUAUGUGCUGCUUAUGGGAGUUUUUGUGUGUUACAUUAAUAAGGGUGUUAUUGUAAGAUGAUGUGAUUUAGA